Molecule: small RNA, 580 nt
Filed under: Arabidopsis thaliana (thale cress)
Lineage: Eukaryota; Viridiplantae; Streptophyta; Magnoliopsida; Brassicales; Brassicaceae
Description: ATSL194400
Source: RNAcentral
AUUAAUCAUUUUGCAAAUCACCCUAAAUCUUAUAGUUUAGAUCUCGAUUUUGAUUUAUUUUGUAUAUUGUUUCACACAUGGACUGAGAGAGCUAAAUCAAUAAACUGAAUCAAGCUAAACUAAAAAAUAAACUGAAUCAAGCUAAACACUAAAUCGAAACCAAAAUCUAUCACAAAAUAGUAUAACGAAUUCACAUAAUCAACACCAAAAUCGAAUAAUUCAAUUCGAAAUUGAGACAUUUAGGCUAAAAUAACAAAUUCGAAAUCGAUUCCAUAAGAGAAACACAAACCUGGGAAAUUGAUGGUGAAAUGAAGACUGCGAGGGUGAAAGACAAGACGAUUCCGACGACGCCGUCGUACUCUCCGACGGCGACAGACCAAGAACAAGAGAGACAAAUGAAAAUUAGGCCGCUGGUCUGUAGUUCACUAUAGGUAAAAGGGGGAUACAAAUUAGGAGAGAGUGCAAAUGAAAAUGGCCAGAAAAAGAGGUUGAUUUUAAAAGGGGUAUGAUGAAAAGGGUAUUAGAGAAUUAAUUAAAAAACAACAAACACCAAUAAUUAGUCAAAUCGGAAAUUAACAUU